UAGAGUUUGAUCCUGGCUCAGAUUGAACGCUGGCGGCAGGCCUAACACAUGCAAGUCGAGCGGUAGAGAGAAGCUUGCUUCUCUUGAGAGCGGCGGACGGGUGAGUAAUGCCUAGGAAUCUGCCUGGUAGUGGGGGAUAACGUUCGGAAACGGACGCUAAUACCGCAUACGUCCUACGGGAGAAAGCAGGGGACCUUCGGGCCUUGCGCUAUCAGAUGAGCCUAGGUCGGAUUAGCUAGUUGGUGGGGUAAUGGCUCACCAAGGCGACGAUCUGUAACUGGUCUGAGAGGAUGAUCAGUCACACUGGAACUGAGACACGGUCCAGACUCCUACGGGAGGCAGCAGUGGGGAAUAUUGGACAAUGGGCGAAAGCCUGAUCCAGCCAUGCCGCGUGUGUGAAGAAGGUCUUCGGAUUGUAAAGCACUUUAAGUUGGGAGGAAGGGUUGUAGAUUAAUACUCUGCAAUUUUGACGUUACCGACAGAAUAAGCACCGGCUAACUCUGUGCCAGCAGCCGCGGUAAUACAGAGGGUGCAAGCGUUAAUCGGAAUUACUGGGCGUAAAGCGCGCGUAGGUGGUUUGUUAAGUUGGAUGUGAAAUCCCCGGGCUCAACCUGGGAACUGCAUUCAAAACUGACUGACUAGAGUAUGGUAGAGGGUGGUGGAAUUUCCUGUGUAGCGGUGAAAUGCGUAGAUAUAGGAAGGAACACCAGUGGCGAAGGCGACCACCUGGACUAAUACUGACACUGAGGUGCGAAAGCGUGGGGAGCAAACAGGAUUAGAUACCCUGGUAGUCCACGCCGUAAACGAUGUCAACUAGCCGUUGGGAGCCUUGAGCUCUUAGUGGCGCAGCUAACGCAUUAAGUU
RNAcentral lists this ribosomal RNA (864 nucleotides) under uncultured bacterium. RNAcentral describes it as "bacterial SSU rRNA". It matches the Rfam family "Bacterial small subunit ribosomal RNA", at positions 1 to 866 of the family's 1533-position model. The record is from RNAcentral.